This 235-nucleotide ribosomal RNA is filed under the name uncultured bacterium. Its description in RNAcentral is "partial 16S ribosomal RNA". It matches the Rfam family "Bacterial small subunit ribosomal RNA", at positions 120 to 354 of the family's 1533-position model. The record is from RNAcentral.
AGCAAUCUGCCUUGGAGUGGGGAAUAACGGCUGGAAACAGCCGCUAAUACCGCAUGACGCGUCUGGGAGGCAUCUCUCUGGACGCCAAAGAUUUAUCGCUCUGAGAUGAGCUCGCGUCUGAUUAGCUAGUUGGCGGGGUAACGGCCCACCAAGGCGACGAUCAGUAGCCGGACUGAGAGGUUGGCCGGCCACAUUGGGACUGAGACACGGCCCAGACUCCUACGGAAGGCAGCAG